AGAGAGAGAGAGAGAGAGAGAGAAAGAGAGAGAGAGAGAGAGAGACAUAUUUGAUAAUUUCGGAUGAAUGCAAUAACGAAUGACUGACCGUUAAAUCAGUACGCAGCGAAAUGAAAUGUGAAUAUGCUAAAAAUGCAUUGCGAAAUAAUGACGGAAUGAAUGCUGGAAUGUCAGUGAAGUCGAUGUAACGGUACCGAUAAUAAUAUAGAAAAAUUAUUAUUGUACAAUCCAUUUAAUAAUUAGGGAAGAGCACUGAA
Long non-coding RNA from Trachymyrmex cornetzi, 257 nucleotides. RefSeq lists it as uncharacterized. The transcript is spliced from 2 exons. NCBI's taxonomy places the organism in Eukaryota, Metazoa, Arthropoda, Insecta, Hymenoptera, Formicidae. The record is from RefSeq and is a predicted model, not a curated record.